RNAcentral lists this long non-coding RNA (1341 nucleotides) under Cricetulus griseus (Chinese hamster). Its description in RNAcentral is "lncRNA (ENSCGRG00015035527.1)". Lineage: Eukaryota; Metazoa; Chordata; Mammalia; Rodentia; Cricetidae. The record is from RNAcentral.
UGAAACACUCCUCGCCUGAUGCCCUGCAACAUUAGUAAGCUCGAUGGCAGUUGAGAGUCAGGCCUUUAUUUACAUGGCUGCCUGAGACGGACGAACUCUGGGAUGCUCCACUCCACCCAUCCAUGAAGGGCCUGCUACCUACAUCCCUCUUGCUGAUGACAAGGUGAAAGGGCAGAGAGAUGCAGAGCCUCUCCCUGAGCCUAGGCUCCCUGGUCAGCUUAGCUGAAUUAAUUAAUGCACUUCUGUGGAGAAGAAAUGACUAGUUCCCUGGACACUAAAUGCCACCACUGGCUCGCAGUUUGGAGCCAUGGUGGAGUGAAUCACUGCCCUGUUCUGGCCCCGGAGCAGCAUGGCUAAUGGGAGCAGGCGCCCUCCUCUUGUGACGUGACCCCAGAGGUCAAGAGUAUCAAGAGCUAGAGACCCCAGAGCGGAAAGGAAAUCCCAGAAACUGCUACACUUGGCUCUCCCUUCCUUCAGAAAGAAACUUCAUGGUGUGAGCUGGGCACCUUCAUGCGGUCGAUUUCAGGGAUUGAGGAACCCUUACCGACCGUGGUGCUGUGGUGUGAAUCUUCAAUGCUCCCAGCUUCCUCGUGCACGAGGGGAUGGAUGUGAGGAGAGAGAUUCACAACAUCUCAAAGGGCUGAGAAUUACUGCUGGGUGCUCAGCCCUAAGUGACAUCUACACUGCAAGGUGGAGGAGACAUUGUAGGAGAGGGUUCAAAAGGAACAGAAGAGCCAGAGGGGAAGAAGCUGUGAAACGCUCUCUGCUCGACAGGACACAGGUGUUGCACUCAUGAACCCACGGCAGCUACGGUUACCUGCAUGAGUGCUUACCUGCAUGAUACCCACACAAGACCAGGCCUGCCAGCAUUCCUACCUGAAUAAGGGAGAGGCUCAGGAGGCCCCACCCCUGCCUGAGGAAACAUGAGCAAAUGGUGUCUGGGGGAGGGGAAGGCAUGUUGUUCCCUGCUGUCGCCACUGCUGAGUUACCAUUGGUGGAGUAAAUACCCCCACCCACGUUCAUGCAAGCUCAGCCUUCUAACACACGGGCCUCUAUGGAGCAUCGAAGAUCUAAACUAUAACACCAUGUUUUUAAAAAGUUAAUUCAUGGCUUCCCACUUUUAUUCCUGUCUGCUCAUUUAACCCUUAAGUGUUCUUUUGGGUGAUAAUUAAAACUUUAAAAACCAAGAAUGGUUUUUAAGCUUCACGAGAGCUUACCCAGUCUGUUUGUUUUUAUAGUCUACAAUAGUCCGAAUAUCACUUUGAUGUCAUUUCAUCCAAAUAAACCCCAGUCUGCUGAAGCCUACACACCUGCAGUUGCCCCAGUUAGGAAACUUCUGAC